This 186-nucleotide ribosomal RNA is filed under the name Streptomyces sp. SID10115. RNAcentral describes it as "partial 16S ribosomal RNA". It matches the Rfam family "Bacterial small subunit ribosomal RNA", at positions 1 to 187 of the family's 1533-position model. Lineage: Bacteria; Bacillati; Actinomycetota; Actinomycetes; Kitasatosporales; Streptomycetaceae. The record is from RNAcentral.
CAUUCACGGAGAGUUUGAUCCUGGCUCAGGACGAACGCUGGCGGCGUGCUUAACACAUGCAAGUCGAACGAUGAACCACUUCGGUGGGGAUUAGUGGCGAACGGGUGAGUAACACGUGGGCAAUCUGCCCUUCACUCUGGGACAAGCCCUGGAAACGGGGUCUAAUACCGGAUAACACCUUCCCUC